This 219-nucleotide small RNA is filed under the name Arabidopsis thaliana (thale cress). Its description in RNAcentral is "ATSL271550". The record is from RNAcentral. Lineage: Eukaryota; Viridiplantae; Streptophyta; Magnoliopsida; Brassicales; Brassicaceae.
CCUAAGUAUUGUAUCCUUGGUUAGUGUUUUGGAUUCAAAUAUGAGUUGAUGUGAUGUGUAUGAUUGAGUAUAAGAACUUAAACCGCAACUGGAGCUUUAGUGCCUCAGUAGUGUUUCCUCGUUAGAAGAUACAAAGGCAAAGACUCAUACGGAGUUUAGCUACACCAUCAAAGCUUUAAGAAGCAAGAAGAAGCUUGGUUAGUGUUUUGGAGUCAAAUA